Molecule: transfer RNA, 238 nt
Filed under: Pneumocystis jirovecii
Lineage: Eukaryota; Fungi; Ascomycota; Pneumocystomycetes; Pneumocystales; Pneumocystaceae
Description: tRNA-Pseudo(TAT)
Source: RNAcentral
UACUAUUUAAUAUAAAUUAUAAAUAUAUUAUAAUCUAUUAAUUAAUAUCUUGCUAAAUAAUACACAUAAUAUAAUAUAUAUAUUUUGUAAUUUUAUUAUAAUCUCGUUUAUACUAAAAAAAAGAUACUUUUGAAGAAAUAAAAUUAAAAUAAUAAAUAUAUGUUUUUAUUAAUUAUAAUUAUAAUUAUAUAACUAAACAUUAGUAUAUUGUAUUAAUAAUAUAUUUUAUUAGUAUUAA